CCGGGCAGUGGACGCUGCUAUGGUGCGUACACGCCAUCCGACACACUAACGUCCUCGAUUCCGCUUUAACGAAGAGGAGGAGAAGUCCAGGAAUAUGAGUAAAGUGGACGCGCCAUGUCGCUCCAGCGCCUCCCUCAAGUUCACCAUUGACAACAUCCUCAACCUGAAGACGAGCGGGCGGGGCUCCGACGGAUGUCACCCCGGCGGAGAGGACCAUGACUCGGUCACGGGGACGAGUAAAGGCCGCAGCCUCCAGAGACCCGGAUGUGAAGAUAACGGUCGUGAGGACCGGAGAAGGGCGGCGGACGCGCGCUUGGAGAGCAGCGACAGCAGCUGCGACGACUCCAUCAUCCCGGAGCCACUUCAAGCGGACUGCGGCCCGGGCAAGAAGAGCAAAAUAAUGACAAAAAAGAAGACGCGCACCAUUUUUUCCAAGAGACAAAUCUUCCAGUUGGAGACUACCUUCGACAUGAAGCGCUACCUGAGCAGCGCCGAGCGCGCCUGCCUGGCCAACUCGCUGCAGCUCACCGAGACGCAGGUGAAAAUAUGGUUCCAGAACCGCAGGAAUAAGUUGAAACGGCAGAUCUCCAGUGAGAUCGACGGACCCGGGAGCGACUUCCCGGAGACGGUGAAGCCGGGGUUGGUGGCUCAGCUCCCGGCCUUGUACAAGGAGAGCAGCCUGCUGGGGAGGUGCCUGCUGCCCGUGCCGCUGCCCGUCGUGUACCCGGGCUCCCCCGCGCCUUACUUCUGCUUCUCCAGCACCAGCAAAAUGAACCACUGUCUUACCUGCACCUUUGCAUCCGGAGUUCCUGCUGCAUCUUGGAAGAACAAUCCACGCAUCACCAUGCGACCACGGCGCUACAAGUAGACUCGAUAUAAGAAGCUCUACAAACUACAAGCUGGCUUACGGGGGACAAGGCGCAAUUGAAGGGGGCUUGACCUGGAGGAGGACUUAGACAGUAUGUGUGGGAGCCAGAGUACGACCCCAGCCCCCAGAGAGCCCAACCCACAAACAGUAGGUGUGGCGCCCAGGGAACCAGGGACCACCGCCCCCACGCAGCCAGGCCGGCCAGCGACAGGAACCCCAGAGCCAGGCCCACCGCGCAGCCCGUAAGAGCCAGCAGCAGGCCGCAGACAGACGCACCCGGCAGAGGACAAGGCACGAGAAAAGCAGGGGACAGCCAGAGCCCAAGCCAGCGAGAGACCACACCCCACACGGGCAGAAAGGCGGGACGCCCCGCCCGGGGGGGCUCAGAGACUCCUCGUGUGAAUGCUCCAAUGCUGAAGUUGAACUAAAAUGCUGACAUAAUAUAGUAUGAAUGUAAGAAUAGUUUGAAUGUUGAAAUGGUUUGAAUGUUGAAGGGUUUGAACUUCCAGGAAAAACAGAAUUUAGUUUGGAACUUGGGAAAAUGUUAGUUGGAUGAGUGGAAUAUGUUGAAGGUGGAAUGGUUUGAAUAGGUUGAAAAAUGUAGGAAUUGUGGAAGUUUGAAAAAUGGACAAUACAUUUUUGAAUAGGGAAAAUGUCCCUGAAAACAGGCAAUUCUUGGAAAUCCGGUAAUUUUUUUUAAAUUGUUGAAGGAGAGCACACAAUUCCUGAAAAGGGUGAAUAUUUGGAAGUUGGAACUGUUUGAAUCGGAUAAGAAAAUGUGGUAACUGUGGAACUUUGAAUACUGUCCCACUCAUUUCAAUGGGAAUUUCAUUGAAAUUUGGGAAUUUCGGGAAAAGCGGGAAUUUUUUUGGAAAAUAUUAAAAAACUUGAAUGUCCUGAAUGAGUUGAAAUGGUUGGUGUUGGAAUUUUCCAAAUUGGUUGAGAAAUGUUGAAGUAGUAACAUUUUGAAUUGAGAAGUGGUAUUAAGGAGUUCCUGGAAUUUCGGGAAAACUGGUAAUUUUUCCAGUUCGAAAAACAACUUAGUUUUUUUUUCCUGAUUAAGAGGAAUGUUUGGACAGUGGAAAGGUUGAAGUGGGUUUAAAAAAAUGUGGG
RNA transcript from Nerophis lumbriciformis (worm pipefish), 1981 nucleotides. It is a transcript of the gene named H6 family homeobox 4, with no coding region annotated. The record is from RefSeq and is a predicted model, not a curated record. NCBI's taxonomy places the organism in Eukaryota, Metazoa, Chordata, Actinopteri, Syngnathiformes, Syngnathidae.